AAGAGAGACAAUGUGAUAGAUCCUAUCUACAAAUAACUAUUUGGAAGGCAGAAGUUUGGAGAGACAUUAACUCUUUCAGACAGUAAAAGAAAAGGGAUGUAACAGGUGAAACAAGACUGACCAUGUUUUAAUAAGCUGGCUAAUAGAUUCGGGUGUACAUGUGCAGGUCUGUUACCUGGGAAUACUGCGUGAUACUGAACUUUGGGGUACAAGUGAUCCUGUCACCCAGGUACUGAGCACAGUACCCAACAGGUUAACAGAAGAAAAAAGAAGCAUAGUUUAUCUCCAAGGAGAACGGGCAGUUUGCUUCUUCAGCUAGAAUAUAUUCCCAGUGUCCUCGGGCUUUGCAGCAGAAUCACAUCACCGAGCAUGAAGACUUGCCUUGUGAAGCUGCCCCGUCCAUUUUUUCUGCCUCCAAAAUCAUCCUUCGAAAAACAUCAACAGCAGUCUGAUUUUCUUUAGCAGAAGAUUCCAAAAAAGCUGCAUUCCAAGAUUCUGCCAAAGCUUUCCCUUCUUCAUAACUGAUCACCCUUUCCAUAUGCAGGUCUUUCUUAUUUCCAACCAACAUAAUAGGAGUCCACAAAUUGGCCUUCAACAAAUUGAAUCGUCAAUGAGGAUUUCCCCACAGACCGGUAGCCCAGGAUCGCGAUCUUCCGGGACUUUGACUGCGGCAUCUUGGCGGCCUCCUCAGCCCCGGCCCAACCACAUCAACCGCGGCGGCGGCGGCUCCUGCUGCUGUGAUCGGCGGCGGCCGCGCCGGGAGAGAGCGGCAUACAGAGCAGGGGCGGCGGCGGGCGCGGCUGCCUCUCGCUCGCUAGCUCGUGCGCUCCCAACCGCCCGGAACCGACCGCGCGGCGGCGCCCCUCCCCCCCACAACACGCCCACGUGACCGGCCGGCGUCAGCACCGCCCCUCUUCGCGCCGUGGCCCGCCGCCUCCGCCCCCCGAAAUACGCGGGGGGUGCGUCGGGGCGACGUUUUACUUUAAAGGCAAAAAAAGGGGACGCCGCGAUGCCCCCAGAAAAGUCACGACUGAAACUCGCUGCGUCAUGACCCGGUUUACUCUUUCAGAAGAAAAACAACUGCAAUAUUCUCAAAAUGUCCACUGGUAGCCAUUUCCCUACAUCAAUAAAAAAACUUUAGAAUAUACUUUAUUUAGCUACUAACCUGUAAAAAAUAAAGCACCAUAAAUUCCUGUGUAUGUGUAAAAACAAAGAUUGUGAAGUAACUUCUAAAGAUUAUCUAAUUAGUUCAAGAUUUUUCACAUCAUUCUACAAAAACCUGAAACUCUCUAGGGGAUUCAUAGAAUAUUCUCCAUCCAGAAUUUUGUCAUAAGAGUUUUAUGAAAUUACUGAACUAUUACUUGAAUCUAGAUCAUCCUUAAAACCAGAGAUAUCUACAUUUCCCAAAUCUCUUGCAAAGCAUUUGCAUACCAUGUUAUUUUCAUUAUUUCAAAACAUUCCUUCCCCUUCUAUUCUAUCAACAUCUACAAGAUAUGCUGAAUUUUACUUAGAAGCCAUUUAGCUAUCAUUCAUACACACACACUUUCCAAAAUGUAACACCUUCAAAUAUACAUAAUAAAAGACUAAACUUGUAUCUUUUACAGAAAUCUCAAAAUUAAAAUUUAACUGACUUCAACUGGGCAAAACCACACCAUCUCAGUUACUAUAGGUUCAUACUAAGUCUUGAUAGCUGAUAGGGUAAAUUAUUCUUCCCUGCUUUUCUUCUUAAAAUGCCCUGCUGUUUUCAACCACUUACUCUUCUACAUAAAUAUCAUACAAUCUUAUCAAAUUACAUGAAAAUCUUAUUGGUCUUUAACUCAUUGCCUCAAGAGAUCCUCCUACCUUGGCCUCCCAAAGUGCUGGCAUUACAGGCAUGAGCCACUGCGCCCUUGAAAUCUUACGAGGAUUUUUAUUGAACAUGCGCUGAAUUUACAAAUCAACUUGAAAAGAACUGAAAUCUUCACAAUGUUAAAUCUUCCAAUUAAUGAAUAAAGUAUAUGUUUAUUUCA
This 2009-nucleotide long non-coding RNA is filed under the name Homo sapiens (human). Its description in RNAcentral is "long independently transcribed non-coding RNA 2637 (LINC02637)". Lineage: Eukaryota; Metazoa; Chordata; Mammalia; Primates; Hominidae. The record is from RNAcentral.